AUAUCAGUAAGGUAUAUCCUUACCUGGUACUGCAUUCAUGGAGAAUCAGAUCAUGAUGAAUGGGGAUUCAUGAGGUAUGAUUAAUAUCUCCGUUUUGUGGGGAACAGCAACACCCCACAAGAUCCAUUCUGAC
Molecule: small nucleolar RNA, 133 nt
Organism: Scatophagus argus
Lineage: Eukaryota; Metazoa; Chordata; Actinopteri; Scatophagidae
Product: U8 small nucleolar RNA
Exons: 1
Source: RefSeq, a predicted model, not a curated record